ACGGUGUCCUCGCAAUUCGGCCGACGGGCUGCACUCUCGCGACAUCAUGGUGGCGUACUGGCGACAGGCGGGACUUAGCUACAUCCGAUACUCCCAGGUCUGUGCAAAAGCAGUGAGAGAUGCACUGAAGGCAGAAUUCAAAGCAAGUGCCGAGAAGACUUCUGGCAGCAACGUAAAAAUUGUGAGAGUGAAAAAGGAAUGAUCUACCUUGCUUGAAAUGCCACAUUUCCAAGGUGAAGAUGUGUGGGCACAUGUUAUGGCAGAUUGGAAACGAUCUCACUUCAUGGAAAAAAAAUACUAUCUUGUUCAUAAAUUGACAAUGCCAAUAAAUUGAAGUAUGGUUCACUCUUUAAAAAAA
This is a non-coding RNA of Microcebus murinus (gray mouse lemur), 358 nucleotides long. NCBI's taxonomy places the organism in Eukaryota, Metazoa, Chordata, Mammalia, Primates, Cheirogaleidae. The record is from RefSeq and is a predicted model, not a curated record.